Molecule: long non-coding RNA, 816 nt
Organism: Corythoichthys intestinalis (scribbled pipefish)
Lineage: Eukaryota; Metazoa; Chordata; Actinopteri; Syngnathiformes; Syngnathidae
Exons: 4
Source: RefSeq, a predicted model, not a curated record
AGCGUCCUGGCUCCUGGCCACAGUCAAGUUAACCUCCCCUCCCCCCACCUUAACAAGCCAGCACACCGACACGGAGGAGCACACUUGUGUCUCAGUGAUCCAGGAUGAGUUUUAUCGAAUAACAAUGGUUCAUCUUGAAUCAAAGUUCAUGUCCAAGCUGGACGAAUUUACGCCUCAACUAUUAAAACUCUUCCAUACCAAGGGCGGAAGCAUGGGGCUGCAGUUGCAGGCUUACUCAAGACUCCAAGCAACCCAAAUAUCCACAUGAAGAGAGAGAUCGUCAUUAGAUGUUCGAUGAAGUUCCUCGGGGAAUCGUAAGAGCAACUCUUAAGAGAGUACGAUGAUGCUGAUGAGGACCGAAUACUCCAAGAUCUUGCACUUCAAACAUUGAAGAUCUACAUCAAACCGAACCCAUCAGAGGCACCAGACAUCGGUAUUGUGGUGGAGGGCGUCAAAGUGCUGACUGGUCUGGAAAAUCUUCCGAGGGCUUGCUCCCUUCUGGUUGGAAUUGCUUAUGUGUUGAAUCUCGCAUAUCCAAAGGAACUCAAGAACACAUUUGAAGUGUUUCAAAAACUUUUCCUUGGCCUCGAUGAUACAAAGCUCUCCCCAAAAAUCAAUAGCUUGAAGAACAGGCUACUGGCCUAACAGAAGAGACCUUUGUUGUGAAAUUGUUAAUAGUUUAACAACAAAGGAAAAUUCAACAGAUUAACAUGUUAAUCUGUUGAAUUUUCCUUUGUUGUUAAUUUACAAUGUUGUUCAAUUCUUCGUGUUGUUAAAAUAUGUUCAUAUGUUGAAUUUUUUCUUGGUUGCUUCAAU